Molecule: ribosomal RNA, 726 nt
Filed under: uncultured bacterium
Lineage: Bacteria
Description: bacterial SSU rRNA
Rfam family: Bacterial small subunit ribosomal RNA
Source: RNAcentral
CGAAAGAAGCUUAGUGGCGAACGGGUGAGUAACACGUAGGCAACCUGCCCAAAAGAGGGGGAUAACACUUGGAAACAGGUGCUAAUACCGCAUAACCAUGAACACCGCAUGAUGUUCAUGUAAAAGACGGCUUUUGCUGUCGCUUUUGGAUGGGCCUGCGGCGUAUUAACUUGUUGGUGGGGUAACGGCCUACCAAGGUGAUGAUACGUAGCCGAACUGAGAGGUUGAUCGGCCACAUUGGGACUGAGACACGGCCCAAACUCCUACGGGAGGCAGCAGUAGGGAAUCUUCCACAAUGGACGAAAGUCUGAUGGAGCAACGCCGCGUGAAUGAAGAAGGCCUUCGGGUCGUAAAAUUCUGUUGUCAGAGAAGAACGUGCGUGAGAGUAACUGUUCACGUAUUGACGGUAUCUGACCAGAAAGCCACGGCUAACUACGUGCCAGCAGCCGCGGUAAUACGUAGGUGGCGAGCGUUGUCCGGAUUUAUUGGGCGUAAAGGGAACGCAGGCGGUCUUUUAAGUCUGAUGUGAAAGCCUUCGGCUUAACCGAAGUAGUGCAUUGGAAACUGGAAGACUUGAGUGCAGAAGAGGAGAGUGGAACCCCAUGUGUAGCGGUGAAAUGCGUAGAUAUAUGGAAGAACACCAGUGGCGAAAGCGGCUCUCUGGUCUGUAACUGACGCUGAGGUUCGAAAGCGUGGGUAGCAAACAGGAUUAGAUACCCUGGUAGU